CUAUGAUAGCCUUUAUAUAAAAUAUUGGUUCCCACCUAAGAUUUUUACAUCAAAUAUUAUUUCUUCUAUACUCAGGGGGACGCAUGUCUACCUUUAUUUUAUUCUGGCGUUGCUAUCCAUUUCAUUUCAGUUCCAAUAAAUUUCCACAGAGUAACGGCAAAUAUGAUAUCAUCUGGUAGAUGGGAUCCAUUGCCUCAAACUAAGUAAGAUCCAAGUCACAUUCAAGUCCUUCAUACUGUGGCAGCUGCUGUGGGAUGCAAAGGAUAAAUGUUGCAUAUCCUCCUGGAAUCUUAGUUUCAUCAGUAUAAGUCACGUCAUGAUGGAACUCAUUUUCCCCACUGGUGAAGAGUCCGAGAGGACUGAAUGACUGAAUUGAACUGAUCAGAGAACACAUGGCUACAUCCAAUCAUCAAGACUUGGGAAACGACUAACUUUGUGACAUUAUCCAAGUAAUCUUUCUGGAUUUUAAGUGACCCACAUCCUUGAUAAAGUGUAACUGGAUUGUUUUCA
RNAcentral lists this long non-coding RNA (510 nucleotides) under Capra hircus (goat). RNAcentral describes it as "lncRNA (ENSCHIG00000006149.1)". Lineage: Eukaryota; Metazoa; Chordata; Mammalia; Artiodactyla; Bovidae. The record is from RNAcentral.